UACGCAGGUGGCAAGCGUUAUCCGGAUUUAUUGGGCGUAAAGGGAACGCAGGCGGUCUUUUAAGUCUGAUGUGAAAGCCUUCGGCUUAACCGGAGUAGUGCAUUGGAAACUGGGAGACUUGAGUGCAGAAGAGGAGAGUGGAACUCCAUGUGUAGCGGUGAAAUGCGUAGAUAUAUGGAAGAACACCAGUGGCGAAAGCGGCUCUCUGGUCUGUAACUGACACUGAGGCUCGAAAGCGUGGGGAGCAAACAGG
This 253-nucleotide ribosomal RNA is filed under the name uncultured bacterium. RNAcentral's name for it is "partial 16S ribosomal RNA". It matches the Rfam family "Bacterial small subunit ribosomal RNA", at positions 524 to 776 of the family's 1533-position model. The record is from RNAcentral.